This 253-nucleotide ribosomal RNA is filed under the name uncultured bacterium. Its description in RNAcentral is "partial 16S ribosomal RNA". It matches the Rfam family "Bacterial small subunit ribosomal RNA", at positions 524 to 776 of the family's 1533-position model. The record is from RNAcentral.
UACGGAGGAUGCAAGCGUUAUCCGGAAUGAUUGGGCGUAAAGCGUCCGCAGGUGGCUGUGUAAGUCUGUCGUUAAAGAAUGAGGCUCAACCUCAUAAGGGCGAUGGAAACUACAAGGCUAGAGUACGUUCGGGGCAGAGGGAAUUCCUGGUGUAGCGGUGGAAUGCGUAGAUAUCAGGAAGAACACCGGUGGCGAAGGCGCUCUGCUAGGCCGUAACUGACACUGAGGGACGAAAGCUAGGGGAGCGAAUGGG